GAUGAACGCUGGCGGCGUGCCUAAUACAUGCAAGUCGAGCGAACAGACGAGGAGCUUGCUCCUCUGACGUUAGCGGCGGACGGGUGAGUAACACGUGGAUCACCUACCUAUAAGACUGGGAUAACUUCGGGAAACCGGAGCUAAUACCGGAUAAUAUAUUGAACCGCAUGGUUCAAUAGUGAAAGACGGUUUUGCUGUCACUUAUAGAUGGAUCCGCGCCGCAUUAGCUAGUUGGUAAGGUAACGGCUUACCAAGGCAACGAUGCGUAGCCGACCUGAGAGAGUGAUCGGCCACACUGGAACGGGGACACGGUCCAUACUCCUACGGGAGGCAGCAGUAGGGAAUCUUCCGCAAUGGGCGGAAACCUGACGGAGCAACGCCGCGUGAGUGAUGAAGGUCUUCGGAUCGUAAAACUCUGUUAUUAGGGAAGAACAAAUGUGUAAGUAACUAUGCACGUCUUGACGGUACCUAAUCAGAAAGCCACGGCUAACUACGUG
This 497-nucleotide ribosomal RNA is filed under the name uncultured bacterium. RNAcentral's name for it is "partial 16S ribosomal RNA". It matches the Rfam family "Bacterial small subunit ribosomal RNA", at positions 28 to 507 of the family's 1533-position model. The record is from RNAcentral.